CCUACGGGAGGCUGCAGUGAGGAAUAUUGGUCAAUGGGCGCGAGCCUGAACCAGCCAAGUCGCGUGAGGGAAGACGGUCCUAUGGAUUGUAAACCUCUUUUGUCGGGGAGCAAAAGACGCCACGCGUGGCGUUCCGAGAGUACCCGAAGAAAAAGCAUCGGCUAACUCCGUGCCAGCAGCCGCGGUAAUACGGAAGAUGCGAGCGUUAUCCGGAUUUAUUGGGUUUAAAGGGUGCGCAGGCGGAAGAUUAAGUCAGCGGUAAAAUUGAGAGGCUCAACCUCUUCGAGCCGUUGAAACUGGUGUUCUUGAGUGAGCGAGAAGUAUGCGGAAUGCGUGGUGUAGCGGUGAAAUGCAUAGAUAUCACGCAGAACUCCGAUUGCGAAGGCAGCAUACCGGCGCUCAACUGACGCUCAUGCACGAAAGUGUGGGUAUCGAACAGGAUUAGAUACCCCAGUAGUC
This 459-nucleotide ribosomal RNA is filed under the name uncultured bacterium. Its description in RNAcentral is "partial 16S ribosomal RNA". It matches the Rfam family "Bacterial small subunit ribosomal RNA", at positions 338 to 795 of the family's 1533-position model. The record is from RNAcentral.